GACGAACGCUGGCGGCGUGCUUAACACAUGCAAGUCGAACGGAAAGGCCCUGCUUUUGUGGGGUGCUCGAGUGGCGAGCGGGUGAGUAACACGUGAGUAACCUGCCCUUGACUUUGGGAUAACUUCAGGAAACUGGGGCUAAUACCGGAUAGGAGCUCCUGCUGCAUGGUGGGGGUUGGAAAGUUUCGGCGGUUGGGGAUGGACUCGCGGCUUAUCAGCUUGUUGGUGGGGUAGUGGCUUACCAAGGCUUUGACGGGUAGCCGGCCUGAGAGGGUGACCGGCCACAUUGGGACUGAGAUACGGCCCAGACUCCUACGGGAGGCAGCAGUGGGGAACAUUGCACAAUGGGCGGAAGCCUGAUGCAGCAACGCCGCGUGCGGGAUGACGGCCUUCGGGUUGUAAACCGCUUUCGCCUGUGACGAAGCGUGAGUGACGGUAAUGGGUAAAGAAGCACCGGCUAACUACGUG
RNAcentral lists this ribosomal RNA (468 nucleotides) under uncultured bacterium. RNAcentral describes it as "partial 16S ribosomal RNA". It matches the Rfam family "Bacterial small subunit ribosomal RNA", at positions 28 to 507 of the family's 1533-position model. The record is from RNAcentral.